RNAcentral lists this ribosomal RNA (497 nucleotides) under uncultured bacterium. RNAcentral's name for it is "partial 16S ribosomal RNA". It matches the Rfam family "Bacterial small subunit ribosomal RNA", at positions 28 to 507 of the family's 1533-position model. The record is from RNAcentral.
GAUGAACGCUGGCGGCGUGCCUAAUACAUGCAAGUCGAGCGAACAGACGAGGAGCUUGCUCCUCUGACGUUAGCGGCGGACGGGUGAGUAACACGUGGAUAACCUACCUAUAAGACUGGGAUAACUUCGGGAAACCGGAGCUAAUACCGGAUAAUAUAUUUAACCGCAUGGUUCAAUAGUGAAAGACGGUUUUGCUGUCACUUAUAGAUGGAUCCGCGCCGCAUUAGCUAGUUGGUAAGGUAACGGCUUACCAAGGCGACGAUGCGUAGCCGACCUGAGAGGGUGAUCGGCCGCACUGGAACUGAGACACGGUCCAGACUCCUACGGGAGGCAGCAGUAGGGAAUCUUCCGCAAUGGGCGAAAGCCUGACGGAGCAACGCCGCGUGAGUGAUGAAGGUCUUCGGAUCGUAAAACUCUGUUAUUAGGGAAGAACAAAUGUGUAAGUAACUAUGCACGUCUUGACGGUACCUAAUCAGAAAGCCACGGCUAACUACGUG